CAAAGUAAAAUUCUAUAAUUUUUCACACAAAAAAAUAAAUAAAAUAUAUACUUCAAAAAUAUAUUAAUUUUUAAAUGGUAAAGUUACUUUUGGCCCACCUUGUACAAUGGUCUAAAACAUCUAUAUAUGUAACAGGCACCUUAUUUCAUGAACAACUGUUGUAAACGCUGACUUAUGUCAGUUGGUUAGAGAAGUGGUAAUAUCACUGCCUUAGUUGAAACCAAGGUUAGAUGCUGUUCGGACCACCUCACCACUAAUCAUAUAGUCAAUAGGUGCGGGCCUCAAAUCUCAUAUUUUGGUCCUUCUUCACCCCUAAAUUUCUCCCUUUUAUAAUUGAAUAGUGCUGCGAAUGUGUUGAAGCUAUGAAUGCUAAUAAUAAUAAACAUGUGUUUCUGAAAGCCAAAAUUUGUAUUUCAAACCACCGAAGAUUUUUAAAGUUUUGCUGGGGUAGUUAAACAGAAAGUCGGUCUGAGUUUGCAACUGAAAUUCGAACUUUAGGUCAAAUAAGUGGAAAAAUUUUAUUGAAAUCGCUAAUUUUAUUUGGGGAUAUUUGUCAAAGCCAGCUGUUUUGGCCUGCAUAAACCUUGUUUCGGGAGGAGAGUGGGUUUGCAGCUAUAAUUAAUCUUGUUAGGAAGUUGCUAAAAGUGACAGUGAACCUUAUGCAUAGCUUAGAGCAGGGGUGCCCAAAAAGUAGAUCCCCAGAUGUUCUAGAACUACGGCUACCAUUAUGCUUUGACUUUAGAUGAUUUUAGAAUGCGUUUAGAAUGACAAAGCAUCAAGGAAGUUGUAGUUUUAAAACAUCUGGGAAGCUACCUUUUGGGUACCCCUGGCUUAGAGUACUUAGAGGAUAUCUCUGUUUUUAGGGUAUUGGUAUUUAGUAGGAAACAGUUGCCUUGAGGCGUAUUUUCAGAAUAAUUAUAUGACAUUCGUUGUUAGGGUUAUCUAGUGGCAGAAUUAAUUUGGAUUUGAUAUAUUGCCAGUAUGAUAUGAAGGUAGGAUCUUUAAAAUGAUGUGCACUGUGUUUGGAAACAAAAAAAAAUUCUUGUUGUUGUAUCACUUUACAACACAGCAAUGUCACAUAUCUUCAAGUAAGACUUGACGUAGCAUGUUAUUAUUUAGAACAACCAUCCAUAUUUUUUUUAAUUUAUACUUUCAACUGC
Pelobates cultripes (western spadefoot toad) is the source of this 1160-nucleotide non-coding RNA. NCBI's taxonomy places the organism in Eukaryota, Metazoa, Chordata, Amphibia, Anura, Pelobatidae. The record is from the annotation of a GenBank genome assembly.